AAAAUCCGUCGACUUUAGAAAUCGUGAGGGUUCAAUGGUUCAGUCCCUCUAUCCCCA
RNAcentral lists this transfer RNA (57 nucleotides) under Linum austriacum. RNAcentral describes it as "partial tRNA-Leu". Lineage: Eukaryota; Viridiplantae; Streptophyta; Magnoliopsida; Malpighiales; Linaceae. The record is from RNAcentral.